AGAAAAAUAAGCUAAAAUGCAAGCUUACAGGUUCAUACCCUGUCCAUGGAAUUUAUUCCUUUUUCUA
Molecule: transfer RNA, 67 nt
Filed under: Serratella sp. Yunnan-2018
Lineage: Eukaryota; Metazoa; Arthropoda; Insecta; Ephemeroptera; Ephemerellidae
Description: tRNA-Met
Source: RNAcentral